CUCCACUGCCAAAAAUUCCCGCCCCUUGUAUGGGUGACUCUUGUUUCCCAGUGUCCACCUGCUCAGCUCAGCUUCACUCAGCCCUCCUCAGAUACUAAUUGUAUGGGGAGGUAAACACAGCAGUCAAGUGGAGAGGACGGCGAGUCAAGCGUGAAUAUCAAUCUCCCCACAUCAGAUCAUCAUUGGAUGACUUUGACUGAGUUGAGGCGUCUCAUUAGAGGCGGCGGCGGCUUCGGCGGCGGCUUCGGCGACGGCGGCAUCCAGAGCUCCUGCAGCAUUCAGCUGGCGUCCCGAGCAGGAGAAAAGGCAAACAGGCAGCGGGCGGGAGAAUAGAGACAGAUUGACUGGACAGUGCAGGUGCUUCAAAGACCAUUUUGGCAGCGACACUGAUUCCUCAGACUGAACACCAAGUGAGCCAAUGAGAUGAAUGAACUGAGCGGCGUCGGAUGCUGCAGGUCUGUAGUCAGCUCCGCCUCAUCUGCGCCUGCCGCUGCCACACAUCACGUCAGGAAUCUGAUGAACUGUGCCGACCUCAGAUUAACCUCCCGCGACCGCUUUCUUUUUCCGCAAUCCCACACCAUCACCGGAGGUUCCAGAAGAUCAAGCGUGAAGCGGAAGAGAGAUAGCGGAUAACAAGGCGGCGUCGCACGCCAACCGCCGGGGAUGAAGUGUCGGGGACGCGGUGGAGCGCGCGAAGGAAAACAUGUCAGCACGAGGGAGAAGGACAACUGUAAGGACACUAUUGAAGGAGCAGAAAACCCAGCACAGCCCUGCAGGAAUUGGACGAGAAAGAUUCGGGAGGCGCGGUGGCGCUCGGCAGCCGGCUGCGGAGGAGCGGGCGGGCGAGUCGGGAGAAGGAGCGGAGCGAAACAGCGGGCAUUAAAAGAGAAGAGGUGUGAAAUUGAAACCAAUAAAUCCAGAACAGACUCCUACAGUUGUGGGAGCCACAGCGACCGUAACACUUGGCCUCACCAGUGUUCUCCUUUUUAAUUUGAGCCGAGCCCGCCGUCGUCUGGAGCCGCGUCGGGCCUUGGCAAACGCUCGUGUUCGACGAGACUGGGAGCUGUGUCUUAC
Molecule: long non-coding RNA, 1074 nt
Organism: Betta splendens (Siamese fighting fish)
Lineage: Eukaryota; Metazoa; Chordata; Actinopteri; Anabantiformes; Osphronemidae
Exons: 8
Source: RefSeq, a predicted model, not a curated record